AGUGAACGCUGGCGGCGUGCCUAAUACAUGCAAGUCGAACGGAAUUUAAAAGAGCUUGCUCUUUUAAAUUUAGUGGCGCACGGGUGAGUAAUAUAUAGCUAAUCUGCCCCUUGCUGGAGGACAACAGUUAGAAAUGACUGCUAAUACUCCAUACUCCUUUUUACCAUAAGAUAAAUCGGGAAAGAAUUUCGGCAAGGGAUGAGACUAUAUCGUAUCAGCUAGUCGGUGGGGUAACGGCCUACCGAGGCUAUGACGCGUAACUGGUCUGAGAGGAUGAUCAGUCACAUUGGAACUGAGACACGGUCCAAACUCCUACGGGAGGCAGCAGUAGGGAAUAUUGCGCAAUGGGGGAAACCCUGACGCAGCAACGCCGCGUGGAGGAUGACACUUUUCGGAGCGUAAACUCCUUUUGUUAGGGAAGAAUAAUGAACGGUACCUAAACGAUAAGCCC
RNAcentral lists this ribosomal RNA (451 nucleotides) under Campylobacter gracilis. RNAcentral describes it as "bacterial SSU rRNA". It matches the Rfam family "Bacterial small subunit ribosomal RNA", at positions 29 to 493 of the family's 1533-position model. The record is from RNAcentral. Lineage: Bacteria; Pseudomonadati; Campylobacterota; Epsilonproteobacteria; Campylobacterales; Campylobacteraceae.